This 378-nucleotide long non-coding RNA is filed under the name Solanum lycopersicum (tomato). Its description in RNAcentral is "long non-coding RNA (SLYC_LNC000131)". Lineage: Eukaryota; Viridiplantae; Streptophyta; Magnoliopsida; Solanales; Solanaceae. The record is from RNAcentral.
UAUUCUCUUUGUUCUUUAAUUCAUCAGCCCACAUAAAUCUCUGUAUCUGUUGAAAAAAGAUUCAAUUUUUAGUCUUUAUACUUGUGUUACUUGAUCUGGGGUUGUGUUUUAUUACUCUGAAGUUCAAAAAGAUUCAAUUUUUCAUCACCUAAAGGCUAUAUACUUGUGUUUCUUGAUCUGGGGUUGUCUUAUAUUGCACUGAAGUUGAAAAAGAUUCAAUUUUCAUUACCUAAAGGCUUUAUACUUGUGUUACUUGAUCUGGGGUUGUGUUAUUUUACUCUGAAGUUAAAAAGAUUCAAUUUUUCAUCACUUAAAGGGCUUUAUACUUGUGUUGCUUGAUCUGGGGUUCUCAUAUUUUGAGCUGAAGUUGAAAAAGUU